Molecule: long non-coding RNA, 634 nt
Filed under: Cyanistes caeruleus (blue tit)
Lineage: Eukaryota; Metazoa; Chordata; Aves; Passeriformes; Paridae
Description: lncRNA (ENSCCEG00000018370.1)
Source: RNAcentral
GCCUGAAGCUAGCCUGCAGUCUGACAAGCCUUUGGAUUAAUUGCACCCUCUCCUUGCUAGCAAAUGGGAGGAUUUUAAACAUCCUUUAAAGCUUUCUGAAGUUCUGGUUCUGCUGCAGAAUACUGUGAUUUUCGUGAUGUAAUUAGCGGUUGUUCAGGUUUGGGAUAAUUGGCAUCAGCCAGGGCUGGCUGCUCCCAGUUUGCUGAAGGCAUCCUCCUCCCCCUGGAGCCAGCACCAGCACAGUCAGGUGCACUGGACCUCAGUCGCACAACUGAAGUGGCCAAGAAGCAAGAACACUUCUGAGAAUGAAAAGAUGAUUCCCUCCCUCCAGAAUCUCACAUCAAGUGAAAAAUAAGCCUGUAUAAUUUGGCAGGAAUCACUGUAAUCACAGAGUUUCAGCAACUGAGUUUGUAUCAAGUGACUUUUAUGCCACUUCCUGAGGAGAAGAGAGUGCCUGUGACAUAUCAGCAAUUUACCUGACACCCUUGAGACUUAUGAGCAUUCCUAAUUCUCCCAGAAAGCUCAGAACAAGUCAUUUUGAAUUUUGACGCUUAAAAUAAUUCCUAGGGUUGAGUGAAAUUCAUGCCUUCACCAAAAAAAUAAAAAUUAAAAAAAAAAAAAAUAAAAAAAUUGU